CCUACGGGAGGCUGCAGUGGGGAAUAUUGGGCAAUGGGCGCAAGCCUGACCCAGCCACGCCGCGUGAGUGAUGAAGGCCUUCGGGUCGUAAAGCUCUGUGGGGAGGGACGCGGUACCUCCUUAGCAAGCACCGGCUAACUCUGUGCCAGCAGCCGCGGUAAUACAGAGGGUGCAAACGUUGCUCGGAAUCAUUGGGCGUAAAGCGCACGUAGGCGGCCUAGCAAGUAGGGAGUGAAAGCCCUCGGCUUAACCGAGGAAGUGCUUUCUAAACUACUAGGCUUGAAUACUGGAGAGGGUCGCGGAAUUCCCGGUGUAGAGGUGAAAUUCGUAGAUAUCGGGAGGAACACCAGUGGCGAAGGCGGCGACCUGAAGAUAUUGACGCUGAGGUGCGAAAGCGUGGGGAGCAAACAGGAUUAGAUACCCUUGUAGUC
RNAcentral lists this ribosomal RNA (431 nucleotides) under uncultured bacterium. Its description in RNAcentral is "partial 16S ribosomal RNA". It matches the Rfam family "Bacterial small subunit ribosomal RNA", at positions 338 to 795 of the family's 1533-position model. The record is from RNAcentral.